GAUAUAAAAUGCAUGCAUCAAAGCUUUAAAAAUGCAGAUGAGCAGUAUAUAUGAUAAGCUAAGCCCUUAGCUAUCUAGUUUCUCACAGUUUAUUAUGUUGUCUUUUAGGAUCAGGUUCCUAAUUACAGCUCUUAGUUGUCUCCCAAGUAAGGGGUUUUAAUCUAUGAAGCCUGAAACACACUAUAGGGUGUUGUUUUUAUCAAUCUUCCUGUGGUUUCCUUUAAAGCUCCAUUUGAAAGUAAACAAAGAGAAAAUAGAAUAGACAAUUGAACUAUGACACAAAUAUGAUCAUAUGAUAUAUAAACAUUGUCAAAAGUGCAUUGUCUUCCAAGAAUAUUAAAUACACAAGCAAGCAACAUCUUUUCUAAGUAUUUCACGAAUUCCAUUCAAAUUCUUGGUCAGCCAGCUGAUGUUUUUGCUGCAAGAUGGAUAAGUGCUCGUCUGUGGUAGGUUAUGCGGAGUUUUUUGUAUUUCUGAAUAAAAGCUGCUACUUCUAUCUCCCUGUCAAGAAGUUGUCUGUGUAGGGUUUCAGAUUCCUCUUCUGUCUUAUUCAUUCCUUCUUGAAGCCUUUGGAGAAGGGAUACAAGGGAGCAGGACCUCAAAAUCUCUUCUUUCUGUUUGUCCAGUUCAUUUAAUUUCUCAUGGGCAGCAGCCAACUCAGUAGUCCGUAUUAUUCUGCACUGGUUCCUUAGCUCCAUUAUUUGUGGCUCCUUGUCCAAAUUCUCCCUAGCCAGCUGUAGAGUUUCUUUGCGAAGUUCAUCCCUUAUCUGAUAAAAGAAGUGAUUGUAGUGAUCACAAAUUAGCAACACUAAGUUUCAUAAUGAAGGCAACAAGAAAUGCAUUUUUUCAAAUAAUUUUCUGCUCUCGCCUAGUGCAAUUAAAAUUGAAAAGGAAUUUUUCCAUAUUCCAUGGUAUGACGUGUAAUUCACAAUUAAACUGUUCAUAGAAGUGCAGUUGCAAAAACGAUCACACAGAAGCCAAAAGAUUUCUUAUGAGUGCAUACGUGUAAGCAUACAGGCAUGAGUACUGUUUGUAUGUGCCACAUUUGGGCAAUGGGCAUGCCAAAAUAUAUUUAGCAGAAGGAAUUUCAAAAUGAUGAUUUUUCCUCUUUCUACAGACUUCUGAGAACUUUUACCAAUGAGAAUGCGAGUCUCAUAGAAAAAAGUAAGGUCAGGAAAUAUUUACCCUGCAUUUAGCAAUUUCAAUCCAAUCUUUACUUAUUAAUUUCUAUUCAGCCUCAAGAAAACAAAGCAUGCAAACAUUCACUACUUAGUAUUUACUGUUCCCAGUCCUUGCUAGUUUUCAAUACUUUCAUUUAUGUUCAAGAGACAAGAAGACACAUAAUCUUUGAUUGACUCAUGGAAAAAUCAGGAUUGCACAACUCCUGUUUCAUGGCAAGGGAACCUUAGACCAUUCUGAUCCUACAACAUCAGCAGAAACCAACUCCGAUACAACACAUAUGCAUUCUUUAGUUGCAAAUAGACAAUUGUAUAGAGAAAAGUCCUUAAACUAAAUCCGCAAAAAAUAAGAACAUGUGACCAACAAUAUUUCUUGGUUUGUAAAGGCAACAGGCAAAGGCGGAAAGAUUGCAACUUACAUUAUUUUGAAUUUUAACCUGAUCAACUGAAACUAAAAAUUGAUGGUAUGCAUCCUUGUCUGACAACAGCCUCCGAAGCUCAUCAACACUAGAAAUAUAUAAAAAGAAAACAGAGAUAAAACAAGCUAUCUAGGAAUAAUCACAAUGCCUAGAUUUUUUUCCCCUUCUCACAGAAGCUACAAAAAAAAAAUUUCUAAUUCUAAAAGAUAGGAUUUGAAUCUAUGACCUAAUCCAAGCGAUAGUUACAAAAUUAAUGAUCUGUUAACAAACAUGCCUCAAUUGCAUCUCUCCUUUGGUCCAUGUAUGAAAUCGUCAAUGUACUUGACUUCACUAAGGUCAAAACUACAUCAUGGAUAUAAUGCGGAUCUCUAGACACACCGCUUCCAGCUUCUUUCAUAUCAAUUUCCAUGCAUGUUGUAAAUCUUCGCACCAAAAAACAUAUUGGAAGAAUUAAGUGUAGCAUGCCCAAAAUAUUACCCUUUCUGAGUCACUAGAAAAUAUUAAGUGUGGAUAAUAAUGAAACUGCCAGCAAAUCUAAGAGUGAAACAAAUCUCAUAUAGCCCACAAAACUCGAAAACAACAUUGCAAGAAACAAUCAAUACAACAACAAUAUGCAUACUGUGCAUCAGGCAACCCACCUUUUAUCCUUCAAAAGGGCAAUAACUCCAGCUGCUUCAGAAGGUGACACAUGUGAAGGAGACUGUGGUCGAUCUGUAGGUCGUUGCAAACCGUAGCUACUAAUUGGUGUUACAGGGCGAGAGGAAUUAGGGGAGCUCGCUACAGAUGGAGGGUACCAAGAUUGUGAAGGAGCAUCUUGUGGAUGUGGCUGAGCUUGCUGCUCCUGAGAACCCCUACAGUCGGACAUAGUUGAAACAUAAGUGCCUAAACAUAAAACCCACAUAAAAGAAAAAAAUUAAAAGAAAAAAAAGAAGAAUGAAAUAACAAGAAAAGAAUAGGCAACUGUAAUGAGUGUGGACACUAGAAUUAUGUUUCAACCUCAACACAAUUGUUUAUUAGACAUGAUAUAUCAUUUGAACAUAACAGGUUAUACAAGUAAUCAAGAUAAAAGACAAACAAAACCAAAAUUAUUGAAAGUAUGCAAUAGCAGGUUAAACACAUUUUCAAAAUAGAGGAUAUAACAUAAAGGGUAUAUAUUAAGCUUUCCGUAUGAGAGAAAAAUGACAAUACAAUUAAGCACAAACCAUUUUCCACCAUGUUAGAAAGGGAAAAUCAAGAGUAUGUAAUGUUAAAAUCACACAAUAAUACCUUGAUCAAGACUUUCAAUACUUGUUUAGUUCUGCAAUCAAAUUUGACCAUAAAAUUCAUUAAAAAAAAAAGCCAACCGAAACAAUCCACAAUACCCAAAUUGCAAGUGCAUCACCAUCAUCAUCGAUGAAUCCAAAUCAUUGAAAAAAUCUCAAUUCAGCAUAUAAAUUGUUAAUAAAAACAGAAUCUCAUCAACCCGAACCAAUACCUAGUUAACUGAAAUAACAAAACCAAUAUAUAAAAAACUCCCAAAUUUAAAGCACAAGAAGAACAGAAAACGAAUACCA
Molecule: unclassified non-coding RNA, 3150 nt
Filed under: Hevea brasiliensis (rubber tree)
Lineage: Eukaryota; Viridiplantae; Streptophyta; Magnoliopsida; Malpighiales; Euphorbiaceae
Source: RNAcentral